RNAcentral lists this long non-coding RNA (1530 nucleotides) under Numida meleagris (helmeted guineafowl). RNAcentral describes it as "lncRNA (ENSNMEG00000000871.1)". Lineage: Eukaryota; Metazoa; Chordata; Aves; Galliformes; Numididae. The record is from RNAcentral.
GUGAGGAUGUGGAGGAUUUGUUGGAAACUAUUUAAAGCAUAAUUAAUGUUCCCUUUAAAUACACGGAGAGAUAACAGAAUUAGUUGUGGGGGGAAAAAAAAACCCUUUUUCUAAUAAAAUGGAACAUUUUCAAAGGAAAAUAAAUGCUUAAGCAUUGGUUCCUGGCUGUUGGGAGGUGAUGUCGUUUCACUCGAGACAAAGGAGCUUUCUGGAGUGACAUGGCAGAGGAUCAGGUGCUGGAAUUAAAUGGUGGCAUCCAAAGGAAGUUCCCUUUUUUCAGAAUUCUGGAAUACUCUGAGAAAAACAGCCCCCAGAAAUGAUGGACUUGAUCCCAGUGUAUGGAAUGGUGCAAUAAUGUCACGUGGGCAGUGCAGUGUCACUGAAACUGGUGGCUGGAGGUGAUAAGGAGCUCAAGUUUGGAGCAGCGAUGGAAAAUCUCCCAGGGAUGAUUGCUGCUAGGAGUGAAAAGAAAGCAUAAAGACUGGGAGGGAUGCUCUUCAAUGGAAAAUUCACUGUGUGGUCAAAGAGCAGAAGAGUCUGCAGAGAGCUCUAUUUGUGCAUUCUGCAUCGAAGCUGCCGAAUGGACCCUCCUGAGGCUAUGGAUGGACCAGCUCUUGAAGGCUGCUGGUGGAAGAUGUGGCAAAUGCAGGAAUAACCGUGUAGCUGUGCAGAGGACCUCAGGCCAUAGGUGUCUUCUCAGCCGUUGAGGCCUACUUAGGUUUGGGGCCAGAGGGCACCAUUUCUUCCGGUUAAGAUGGCUGACACCGUUGAAAUUUUCAAGCACGCAAUAUUCUUGUCUUUAUGCUACUCUAAUUGUAUUAAUAUAUUUGACCAAAAAAGGGAGAGGUGUUUUUUUUUUAAAAGGCACUUCAUUUGUAUUACACGCAUACUCUCAUGUUAUAUGUGAACAGUUCACCCUCCAUCCAAUUCAAACCUGUUUGAGGCCUCCUUAAUUAAACUAAGUCUUAAAAUGGGGCUUUGAGCAAUUGUUUCAUGCUGAAAAAUAUAUACACAAAGAAAGAAAACGUGUCCCAUUAAUCUUGGGAGUGUAGGAUAUAUUAUUACUAUUAAUUCCUGUAAUCAGGAGGAAAACAUAACAAAUUACUCUUAAUAAGCCUUUCAGACAGAAUUUUCUUAUAAUCUACAGGCUCAUUUGUAUCUAUUUAUUUUUUUUACCAAAUGAAAUUAACACUUGCUGCACACUCUAUAUGACCUAUAUUUGUUCAUUGGCAAAUACGACACAGCCUAAAAUCCGGGUAUUUAUUUAUUUUUAAUGGCCAGCACAAGAUAUGGGGAAAAGUACUUGAUUUUUUUUCAGUAUGUGGAAAGACUCCCACUCUUUCUGUACAUUUCCUUCUUACGUUUCUUAAAAGUGGAAGUUGCAUGAUAAAAGGGAACGACCUUUCUUUGCGGAAUCACGUUCUAGGAAAAUGGGGACAUUUCUCUUACCUUUCAACCCUAGCAAAGUGCUUUGUUGUCUCUCUGAUUUCAGUAUUUUGGCUUGCACGAUUUAAUCUCUGCCAAAGCGAC